This 336-nucleotide unclassified non-coding RNA is filed under the name Hevea brasiliensis (rubber tree). The record is from RNAcentral. Lineage: Eukaryota; Viridiplantae; Streptophyta; Magnoliopsida; Malpighiales; Euphorbiaceae.
GUGGUGUCAGCUAUCAACAUGUAUGUGGUGUGUGUUGUAGCAUUGCAUUUGUUAAUCUUAUUUUUAAUUUGUAAGCGCGGUAAAAAAAGCCAAGAUCUAUGAAUGAACCAAAACGUUUCAGUUUGGUUUGGUUCUAUUCCCUAUUUUGAUUCAGUUUGGUUUUCUGCCAUUAUUCAAUUCAGUUUUUUUUUUGGUUUUGGUCAGCUUCAGACUAAACCAAAUUGAACCGACCAAUACAUAUUCAUGCCUGGGAAGCCAACAUUAAAAUAUGAAGCAUACAAAUGAAAGUUAAAAAUUCUGUAGGGGCUACAGUUGAACUUAAAAAACAAAAAAAAA